RNAcentral lists this ribosomal RNA (253 nucleotides) under uncultured bacterium. RNAcentral describes it as "partial 16S ribosomal RNA". It matches the Rfam family "Bacterial small subunit ribosomal RNA", at positions 524 to 776 of the family's 1533-position model. The record is from RNAcentral.
UACGGAGGAUCCAAGCGUUAUCCGGAUUCAUUGGGUUUAAAGGGUGCGUAGGCGGAAUGAUAAGUCAGUGGUGAAAUCUCGGAGCUCAACUCCGAAACUGCCAUUGAUACUGUCAAUCUUGAGUACAUUUGAUGUGGGCGGAAUGUGUCAUGUAGCGGUGAAAUGCUUAGAUAUGACACAGAACACCGAUUGCGAAGGCAGCUCACAAAACUGUAACUGACGCUGAGGCACGAAAGCGUGGGUAUCAAACAGG